UGAGCAAUCUGCCCUUCUCUUCGGAAUAAGCGUGGGAAACCGCGUCUAAUGCCGAAUACGACCUCCUUUCGCAUGAUCGGAGGUGGAAAGCUCCGGCGGAGAAGGAUGAGCUCGCGGCCUAUCAGCUAGUUGGUGUGGGUAAUGGCCCACAAGGCGACGACGGGUAGCCGGCCUGAGAGGGUGACCGGCCACACGUGGGACUGAGACACGGCCCAGACCUCCGUACGGGAGNAGCG
RNAcentral lists this ribosomal RNA (236 nucleotides) under uncultured bacterium. RNAcentral describes it as "partial 16S ribosomal RNA". It matches the Rfam family "Bacterial small subunit ribosomal RNA", at positions 118 to 347 of the family's 1533-position model. The record is from RNAcentral.